UACGUAGGGUGCGAGCGUUAAUCGGAAUUACUGGGCGUAAAGGGUGCGCAGGCGGCUUCGCAAGUCAGGCGUGAAAUCCCCGAGCUUAACUUGGGAAUUGCGUUUGAAACUACGAGGCUGGAGUGUGGCAGAGGGAGGUGGAAUUCCACGUGUAGCGGUGAAAUGCGUAGAUAUGUGGAGGAACACCGAUGGCGAAGGCAGCCUCCGGGGCCAACACUGACACUCAUGCACGAAAGCGUGGGGAGCAAACAGG
This 253-nucleotide ribosomal RNA is filed under the name uncultured bacterium. RNAcentral's name for it is "partial 16S ribosomal RNA". It matches the Rfam family "Bacterial small subunit ribosomal RNA", at positions 524 to 776 of the family's 1533-position model. The record is from RNAcentral.